GUAAACGAUGUCGACUUGGAGGUUGUGCCCUUGAGGCGUGGCUUCCGGAGCUAACGCGUUAAGUCGACCGCCUGGGGAGUACGGCCGCAAGGUUAAAACUCAAAUGAAUUGACGGGGGCCCGCACAAGCGGUGGAGCAUGUGGUUUAAUUCGAUGCAACGCGAAGAACCUUACCUGGUCUUGACAUCCACGGAAGUUUUCAGAGAUGAGAAUGUGCCUUCGGGAACCGUGAGACAGGUGCUGCAUGGCUGUCGUCAGCUCGUGUUGUGAAAUGUUGGGUUAAGUCCCGCAACGAGCGCAACCCUUAUCCUUUGUUGCCAGCGGUCCGGCCGGGAACUCAAAGGAGACUGCCAGUGAUAAACUGGAGGAAGGUGGGGAUGACGUCAAGUCAUCAUGGCCCUUACGACCAGGGCUACACACGUGCUACAAUGGCGCAUACAAAGAGAAGCGACCUCGCGAGAGCAAGCGGACCUCAUAAAGUGCGUCGUAGUCCGGAUUGGAGUCUGCAACUCGACUCCAUGAAGUCGGAAUCGCUAGUAAUCGUGGAUCAGAAUGCCACGGUGAAUACGUUCCCGGGCCUUGUACACACCGCCCGUCACACCAUGGGAGUGGGUUGCAAAAGAAGUAGGUAGCUUAACCUUCGGGAGGGCGCUUACCACUUUGUGAUUCAUGACUGGGGUG
This 680-nucleotide ribosomal RNA is filed under the name uncultured Enterobacteriaceae bacterium. RNAcentral describes it as "bacterial SSU rRNA". It matches the Rfam family "Bacterial small subunit ribosomal RNA", at positions 802 to 1482 of the family's 1533-position model. The record is from RNAcentral. Lineage: Bacteria; Pseudomonadati; Pseudomonadota; Gammaproteobacteria; Enterobacterales; Enterobacteriaceae.